This is a small nuclear RNA of Schistocerca americana (American grasshopper), 105 nucleotides long. The record is from RefSeq and is a predicted model, not a curated record. Lineage: Eukaryota; Metazoa; Arthropoda; Insecta; Orthoptera; Acrididae.
GUACUCGCUUCGCCUUUACAUGUAAUAGAAUUGCAACGAUGCAGAGAAGUUUGGCUUGGCGCCUGCGCAAGAAUGAUACGUAAAAUAAAAAAAUUAAAAAUUAAA